Molecule: ribosomal RNA, 465 nt
Filed under: uncultured bacterium
Lineage: Bacteria
Description: partial 16S ribosomal RNA
Rfam family: Bacterial small subunit ribosomal RNA
Source: RNAcentral
CCUACGGGGGGCAGCAGUGGGGAAUAUUGCGCAAUGGGCGAAAGCCUGACGCAACGACGCCGCGUGAGGGAUGAAGGUCUUCGGAUCGUACACCUCUGUCAGCAGGGAAGAACGGUCACUGUGCUAAUCAGCAGUGAAUUGACGGUACCUGCAAAGGAAGCACCGGCUAACUCCGUGCCAGCAGCCGCGGUAAUACGGAGGGUGCGAGCGUUAAUCGGAAUUACUGGGCGUAAAGCGCUCGUAGGCGGUAUGUCAAGUCAAGGGUGAAAUCCCCGCGCUCAACGUGGGAGCUGCCUUUGAAACUGGCAAAAUGGAGGGUGUGAGAGGAUAGUGGAAUGCCAGGUGUAGGAGUGAAAUCCGGAGAUAUCUGGAGGAACAUCAGUGGCGAAGGCGACUAUCUGGCACAUAACUGACGCUGAGGAGCGAAAGCGUGGGUAGCAAACAGGAGUAGAGACCCGGGUAGUC